This is a non-coding RNA of Acinonyx jubatus (cheetah), 704 nucleotides long. The record is from the annotation of a RefSeq genome assembly. NCBI's taxonomy places the organism in Eukaryota, Metazoa, Chordata, Mammalia, Carnivora, Felidae.
UUGCAUGAGCAGCCCCUCCUUUUGAGCUCUGUGGACUGGGGAUAAAAGAGGCCCAGGGCAGCCCAGCCCCGGUUCUGAGGUCUAGGAAGGGUGUGUGUCACGAUGGCCUGGAUCCCUGUCCUUGUCGUGCUCCUCUGCCACUGCACAGGUUCCCUGUCCCAGCCUGUCGUGACUCAGCCAGCCUCCCUCUCUGCAUCUCUGGGAACAACAGCCAGACUCACCUGCACUCUGAGCAGGGACAUCAAUGUUGGAAGCUAUAGCAUACACUGGUACCAACAGAAUCCAGGGAGCCCUCCUCGGUAUCUCCUGUACUACUACUCAGAUUCCAGUACACAGUUGGGACCUGGGGUCCCCACCCGCUUCUCUGGAUCCAAAGAUGCCUCGGCCAAUGCAGGGCUUCUGCUCAUCUCUGGGCUGCAGCCUGAGGACGAGGCUGACUAUUACUGUGCAAUCGGGCACAGUAGUGCUGGUCACAGUGACACAGACACAUGGGGAAGUGGGACAAAUACCCAGCCUGCUUAGACCACUGUAGUCUGAGUCUCCGAAGUCUAAUGUAAAUUGAAUGCACAGUUACUAUACUUGGGUGUAGCUACUGGAUCUGAAUGUUCUUCUUCCCAGUUUCCUAUCAAACCUGUGUGAACUCUAUGAAAAAAAGAAAAAAAAGAAAGAAAAAUGACAACAACAAUAAACCAAAUCAAAGACAA